Dipodomys spectabilis (banner-tailed kangaroo rat) is the source of this 405-nucleotide long non-coding RNA. RefSeq lists it as uncharacterized. NCBI's taxonomy places the organism in Eukaryota, Metazoa, Chordata, Mammalia, Rodentia, Heteromyidae. The record is from RefSeq and is a predicted model, not a curated record. The transcript has 3 exons.
UGUUUUUGAAAAAGAAGGACAAACACUUCUUCCUGCACAUCAAAGAUGCCCAGCCUGGGGACUCGGCUGUCUACUUCUGUGCAGCAAGAACACAUUGCUCCCCAGGCACCUGCAGCCUGUCUUCAAACUUGCCACCAAGACUGGAGCUCCAGCCCAUACUUUGCCACAGACCUUCUUGCAUAACAUUUGACAAUUGUUUACAAGUAGCAGCUAAACACAAACAUUUAGGUCUAAGGAGACCCUGACAGACUGGCUUUGAACCCUGAUCCUCAAAUCUCAGCCAUCUGAGUAUUACAUGCAUGAUCCACUGGCAACCAGAGUGAUGGUAUCUUGGAAUCCAGACAUUUUCUGUUAACAACAAGAAUACCAGGAAGCUGGGACUUGUGUUGUCAGUGGUAUGCGGGG